CCCGCCACUAUUCCUGUCUAAGUGACUGAGUAUAAUCCAGUGGAGGCUCAGACUAACCCAGCUUUAGGAAACAGGGCUGUCCAAACUAAUGGACAACUCUGUGCCGAAAAGUCUGGAACAAGA
Molecule: small nucleolar RNA, 123 nt
Filed under: Echeneis naucrates (live sharksucker)
Lineage: Eukaryota; Metazoa; Chordata; Actinopteri; Carangiformes; Echeneidae
Description: Small nucleolar RNA SNORA65 (ENSENLG00000011659.1)
Rfam family: Small nucleolar RNA SNORA65
About the family: U65 belongs to the H/ACA class of snoRNAs which are thought to guide the sites of modification of uridines to pseudouridines.
Source: Rfam by way of RNAcentral